CCAAUAGCGUAUAUUAAAGUUGUUGCAGUUAAAAAGCUCGUAGUUGAAUUUCGGGAUCAAUAUUUCGGUCAUGCCGUUGGUAUGCACUGUUAUCAUUGAUUUCUCACCUUCUAAAGAACCGUGAUGCCAUUAAUUUGGUGUUACGGGGAAUUAGGACUGUUACCUUGAAAAAAUUAGAGUGUUUAAAGCAGGCUCACGCUUGAAUACAUUAGCAUGGAAU
RNAcentral lists this ribosomal RNA (220 nucleotides) under uncultured Glomus. RNAcentral describes it as "partial small subunit ribosomal RNA". It matches the Rfam family "Eukaryotic small subunit ribosomal RNA", at positions 591 to 815 of the family's 1831-position model. The record is from RNAcentral. Lineage: Eukaryota; Fungi; Glomeromycota; Glomeromycetes; Glomerales; Glomeraceae.